AUAGCAUCUAACAAUAGGAACUGCUACCUUCCGGCACUAAAAAAAAAAUAUUAAAAAUUGAGUUGUCCCUUAACAUUGUGAGUCUUGAGGAAUUUGACUUCUUUUCACCAUUGCCUUUGAUUUGUGAACCUCUCUGGAGUCUUGUCAGGUCACAUUCAAUCUUUUUGCUGCAAGAAUAAGACCUAGAGCGGUGUAUGAUAGGCAGGAUAGAGAGAAGGGUUUUAAAAUGAAAUGUAUUGAUUACACAAUAAUUUGCUUCCAAACCAUGGGGUUUUGAGAUUAAAGGAAACUUCUAAGAUUCUUGAUAGAUGAUCUAACUUGGCCACAGUGCAAAAUCUAAAGCACUGAAUCAUAAUCCUUUCAAGGCUGCACAAAAUCAGUUUGAUCAUGGCUUAAUUUUUGCAUGGAAGGGAGGGUCCUGACUGAUUCUCGUAAUAUUAGUUAUUUUUCACUGCAGUCACUGGGAAUAAACCUACUUCAGAACUGCCUCUAUGCAAAUCCUAGCAUUGUACUGCUAGGAUUCUCAGUAAUGUUUUUCAGGAGGGCUUCAUAAGCCUUUGCCACUGUGAAAUCAUGUAUUUUCCUUUAUUGUGUGACAAAAAUAAUUUGUAAAAGAGAAAUUGCAAGUGCUAGAGAGAAAUACAUGCAGCAAAAUCCUGAAGUAAUCAGAUACAGGAGAAAACAAGGGGUGCAGAUACUGGAGAUUUGGCAAUUUCGGGUGUUCGAUUUGUAAAUUUGAAAUAAUCUCUAAAUUUGUAACUUAUAUUGAAAUAAUUCUUUCUCUCUGUUUUGCUGCCUCAAUGAAAAUAGAGAUGCUGGAUUUGUAGAAAACUCAAGCAACAAAGACCUUCCAGCUCUCCUGAAAUGAUCUGUCUUCUAAUUCCUUGCAUCGCUUCAAGGAGUUCUAUUCAGUUGAUGAAACUUAAUUUGAAAAACGUUUUGUAAAACCAGCAAGAAAAUUCAUUUUAAGAGAACUAUGAUGCUUUAGAAUAAGUGUGAAAGUUAGUAUUUAUUAAGGAAUGUUUGAAUUUGUAUUUUUUUUUGCAUAAUGAGCUUUUAUUUAAACAGUAGAUCCUGUAUAUUUAUUGUUUAAGUUCUUAUUGUAAUAGCCUUGUUUUGUUGCAUUAGUAAAGGGUAUGUGUGUUUAUGUACUAUAAAUAGUAUCUCCAAUCAGAAGUAUCAUUUUCAUCCUAGCUGUGGCCUUGACCAGUAGUUGCAUCACCUGCAGCCGGAACUCUAAGAUCAAUGGCAAAGACGUUAGUGUGAAUUCUCAGGGUCUAAUAGACUUUAUUAAAUGUCUGUCUUAGCUUUCCUGCUUGUAAUUGAGAAAAUAUUUAAACUCGUGCUCCCCUUUUGAAAUCUAGUAUUUUAACCAGAGGAACCUAAUUUAAGAGUGUGAAAUUAAAGCAUGUAGUUUGCUGUUUGAAUAUAUGGUUCCUUUGCUGUGUAUGUAACUUCUUGAGGAAAAACCUGCUCCUGAAAAAGCUAUUGAAUAUUUGUGUGAUCUGGAUUAUGAUGAUGGCCGGGGUAAAAGUCAUGUUGCUCUUCACGUGGUAAUGAUUUAUGGUUUUAAGGCAGUAAUUCUGUUUAGUAGUUCAUUAGGUGCUGGCUGUACUCAGUCAACUUGGACUUGAUAUAUCCUUUUUUCGUAAAGGACCUCAUGUUACCAAAGCAAGGAUAAGGGUGUCCCAGCUUCUUCAGUGCAGCCUCUGCCCUCCCCAGCUGGACUAGCAUAUGUAGGAGAAUAAAAUUGCUCAAGGUUGAGUAGGUUCUGAUAAGACUCAUUUAUCUGUGCUACAACCAAUUGUGAGAACUCCUGGCAUGAACAGCCAGCUACCCACCCUCAAAGGUCAGGCUGGCAUAUGACUGCAAAAUUGUGUGUGUGCAGUGAAGUAAAGGCAUGGAAAACCUGCAUUGACUCAGUAGAAAAAAAAAGUGUGGCAACUUCAGAGGGGACCGUGGAGUUGUGGAGAUGCUGACUUUGGCCUGCAAUUCCGUAGACACUUCAGGAAUGGGAUGUAUAUCUCAUCUCUACCAGCAUUCUGCAGGCAGCAAGGCUGAGAGCAGAGAAAUGAUGAGAAAAAUUCCAUGAAGAAAAUAGAAAAGUAAAACUUGAAGGUUUGCAAGUGCACGCCAGUGCUUUAUUGCUGGCUAGAGAGCUCGAGCCAUCUGAGUCCCUGGAAGAAACCUUUCCCUCUCCUGCUUUGUGGUGCCAGCUUUCCACCCAGCCUGUACAGUAGAGAUGAACAUUUGUUCUGUGACUUGCUUGACACCAGCAAGGAUUCUGUGGUGACAUGGAGGACAUAAGGUGUGCAAGAGCCAGGGUUUUGCCAGGCCUUCAGGUGAAGACUACCUUGUUAUUCUUCAGUUUUCCUAACUCAUUCAUAACUUGAGCCAAUCUAAGGUAAAAUGCAUCAGGUAGCAUAUAUCUGUAAAAAUAAAAACUUGAAAAUACAGUUCAGAAGCGUUUAUAAAAGGCAGAAGU
Long non-coding RNA from Pezoporus flaviventris, 2485 nucleotides. RefSeq lists it as uncharacterized. The transcript is spliced from 3 exons. The record is from RefSeq and is a predicted model, not a curated record. Lineage: Eukaryota; Metazoa; Chordata; Aves; Psittaciformes; Psittacidae.